This is a long non-coding RNA of Hippocampus zosterae (dwarf seahorse), 226 nucleotides long. RefSeq lists it as uncharacterized. The record is from RefSeq and is a predicted model, not a curated record. Lineage: Eukaryota; Metazoa; Chordata; Actinopteri; Syngnathiformes; Syngnathidae. The transcript has 3 exons.
UCAGACACCAAGUGACCUGACUGAACCCUCUGGAGACCAUGAAUGGAAUGAUAGAUACACUUCAUCCUUACAACAGACAUCAAGUGACAGGUACCUGACUGAACCCUCUGGAAACCAAGAAUGGAGUGAGAGAUCCACUUCAUUCUUACAACAGACACCAAGUGACCUGACUGAACCCUCUGGAGACCAUGAAUGGAAUGAUAGAUACACUUCAUCCUUACAACAG